This 328-nucleotide ribosomal RNA is filed under the name uncultured bacterium. RNAcentral describes it as "bacterial SSU rRNA". It matches the Rfam family "Bacterial small subunit ribosomal RNA", at positions 37 to 334 of the family's 1533-position model. The record is from RNAcentral.
GAUCGAACGGCGUGGCGGCGUGCUUAACACAUGCAAGUCGGAACGGAGUGCCUUUGAAGAGGAUUCGUCCAAUUGAUAAGGUUACUUAGUGGCGGACGGGUGAGUAACGCGUGAGGAACCUGCCUUGGAGUGGGGAAUAACACAGUGAAAAUUGUGCUAAUACCGCAUAAUGCAGUUGGGCCGCAUGGCUCUGACUGCCAAAGAUUUAUCGCUCUGAGAUGGCCUCGCGUCUGAUUAGCUAGUUGGUGGGGUAACGGCCCACCAAGGCGACGAUCAGUAGCCGGACUGAGAGGUUGGCCGGCCACAUUGGGACUGAGACACGGCCCAG